This 408-nucleotide ribosomal RNA is filed under the name uncultured bacterium. RNAcentral's name for it is "partial 16S ribosomal RNA". It matches the Rfam family "Bacterial small subunit ribosomal RNA", at positions 28 to 526 of the family's 1533-position model. The record is from RNAcentral.
GACGAACGCUGGCGGCGUGCUUAACACAUGCAAGUCGAACGAAGUGGCGAACGUGUGAGUAACGCGUAAUCAACCUGCCCUUCCGAGGGGGACAACAUUUGGAAACGACUGCUAAUACCGCAUACUGAAGGAGGGGAUUGCGUCUGCUUAGCUCGUUGGCGGGGUAACGGCCCACCAAGGCGAUGAUCAGUAGCCGGUCUGAGAGGAUGAACGGCCACAUGGGGACUGGGAAACGGCCCAGAAUCCUACGGGAGGCAGCAGUGGGGAAUCUUCCGAAAUGGACGAAAGUCUGACGGAGCAACGCCGCGUGAGUGAUGACGGCCUUCGGGUUGUAAAGCUCUGUUAAUCGGGACGCGGUACCGGAAUAGAAAGCCACGGCUAACUACGUGCCAGCAGCCGCGGUAAUUC